This 597-nucleotide long non-coding RNA is filed under the name Parus major (Great Tit). RNAcentral describes it as "lncRNA (ENSPMJG00000002157.1)". Lineage: Eukaryota; Metazoa; Chordata; Aves; Passeriformes; Paridae. The record is from RNAcentral.
ACGCACUUUCCUUCCUCCCGACUUAAAAGCUGAAGUGCUUCUCGUCUCGCCGUCUUUGCCGGAGCAGGCGAACCAGAGGGAGAGGUGGAGUCUAAAGAAGUAGCGUUCCAUCACUUUCAACUUGGUGACUGAAGUAAACAAAGUUCUUUAGGAGACAUGAGAGUUGCGCUGUGUCCCUGGAAAGCGGUGUAAGGAUGGGUGGACGCUGGGAAUCUCCCCCUUUUCCCGGUGCGAUCCUUUUUGUUGCUGAGUGCCCUCUGGAGGUUUCGGACACGCAGCGACCUGGGCUAUCGAGGCUGUGUCUGAGCUUUUCAGGACUCCUUGCUUCAAAGUUCUCGUUGGGGCUAAAGGGAAACUGCUAAAAUACCCUUUGAGCCUCUUCUUGCAAGAUAUAUCAGAGAUCUCAGGGGAAGCCUGUUAUCCUUAUUCUUCCAGCCAAGUUCUGUAGCCAGAGGAACUCUGGAUAACUUCAGUAAGUAUAGGAACUUUUGGGUGCUCAUUUUUGGUUUUCUUGUAAUCUCUAAAUUCUCCACUUUUGUCUACACUUAUUCCCCUAAGUGUAUCAGUUAAAAUAAAUGCCUGCAGUUGCCCUGACCA